UCCAGAAGUGGCUGUACCAACCCGCAAGGGAGGUAAGUCCCCAAGGAGUGCCUGGUGACUGGGGUGAAGUCGUAACAAGGUAGCAGUAGGUGAACCUGCAGAAGGAUCA
Molecule: ribosomal RNA, 109 nt
Filed under: uncultured eukaryote
Lineage: Eukaryota
Description: partial small subunit ribosomal RNA
Rfam family: Bacterial small subunit ribosomal RNA
Source: RNAcentral